CCUACGGGAGGCAGCAGUGGGGAAUAUUGCACAAUGGGGGAAACCCUGAUGCAGCGACGCCGCGUGAAGGAAGAAGUAUUUCGGUAUGUAAACUUCUAUCAGCAGGGAAGAAAAUGACGGUACCUGACUAAGAAGCCCCGGCUAACUACGUGCCAGCAGCCGCGGUAAUACGUCGGGGGCAAGCGUUAUCCGGAUUUACCGGGGGUAAAGGGGGCGUAGGCGGCGAUGCAAGUCAGAAGUGAAAGCUCGGGGCUCAACUCCGGGAGUGCUUUUGAAACUGUGUUGCUAGAUUGCAGGAGAGGUAGGUGGAAUUCCUGGUGUAGCGGUGAAAUGCGUAGAUAUUAGGAGGAACCC
Molecule: ribosomal RNA, 354 nt
Filed under: uncultured bacterium
Lineage: Bacteria
Description: partial 16S ribosomal RNA
Rfam family: Bacterial small subunit ribosomal RNA
Source: RNAcentral